GAAAAAUGUACUGUCAAAAAUGUCGACUGUCGACUGUCAUCUUUGGACCUGGACUUGGUGGAUAGAUUGACAUAUACAGAUAUUUAAAAAAAAUAUUUUCGAUUUCAGGAUCAGAAUCAGUAUACUGCAGUUAUUAAAUAGUUGUUGAAGACAUGUAGCUGGGGUACUGUGAAUGUAUGGAAUUACUAGAAGUGACAAAUUUAUUGCUGACUAGAUCCAGUAUAAAUGGAUUGCCACCUAGGCAGGUAUGUCAGAAUGUAAAACACACUUAAAUAUCAUACCAAGGUAUUGUUAGGUCUACAGAUGUGAGAAAUAGCAGUUUUGAAGCUGUCAAGCGGCACGACGUAAAAAAAUGUUUUGCUUUGGACAAGAAAGUAAAGAAAAUAUUCGCCAGGAGAUUGAGCAGUUGACAUACGCGCAUACCAGGAAAUCGAAGUCAAGCGUAUGGAGACAGUUUGCAAACUUUUGUCCAGAAAAAUCGUAUAAUUUCGAUAGAAGAAGUGGCACUUAUUCUUGAAGACUAUGUGUUCAACAUUCGAAAAAAGAACUCCGAAGACUACAAGGAGAGUGUUAUCAUAGUUUUUUGGAAUUCCACAGCCAAGCAGUUGCAGGAAUAUUUUUUUGAAAAAUAUAAUCGCAAAUUUAAUCCAUUCUCUGACAUAGAAUUUUUGAACGCAAGAGCUUCAAAAAAUGCUAAGCGCUGGAAGCUACAAAUGGAUCGAACCAAGAGAAAGAAAAGUUAAUCUGCACUAUCAGCAGACGAGCUGAAAAAAAUGAUCGAGCUUUGGGAAGAAAACACUCUGGAAUGCAGAAAAUGUUUUUCCACGUUGCUGGUCAUGAAUUGGCCUGGAGAGGAAAUGAAGGAGCGGUAGCACAACUCGAAUAUUUUGUGGAGUAAAUUGACAAUAGAGGGAAACCAACAGGCCACAUUGAGUAUAACCCGGUUUUCUCUAAGACCACCCAAGAUACUUCAAAGAAAAUGGCUGACAGUAAGUGGCUAGUACCGAAUACACUCAACGAAGAAAUAUGCCCACUGAGACUGUUCAAAAAACUAAGAAGCAAGCAGGGCCCCAUCAAAACGAAGCGUUUAUUUUUGACGCCAAAUCCAAACUGGAUGAAUCCCAGUUCCAAAGGCUGGUACAAGAACAGCCCAGUUGGACAGAAUACAAUAUCUUCCUGGUUCAAAUUCUAUGCAUCAUUGAAUGGAAUUGAUCUUAAAAAGAUCAAAAUAACAAAUCAUUCUGUAAGAGCCACUGCUGUUUCAACUGUAGCCAAAACGGGAAUUGGAAAAUAGCAAUUGAUUAAAGUAACGGGUCAUGGUAGCAGCCACUCAAUAAAACCAUAUCUGCAAAUAGACUCGGGCCAUCAUUAAGAAAUAAUUGACGCAAUGAGGUCUGUUUCAACUUCGGCAAAGACGAUUCAAUAGUCUCUGAAUCAAGAACAAGCAACUAUGUCCAAUUAACAUGCCAUAGUUUUUUAAUAAUUGCGUUUUCCAUAUAAACAAUAAUUACAAUAGUCAAGAUAAUAUAAAUAAUUAGAUUCAUUAUCACUUUUAACCAUUCAUUUAAAAUAAAAACUCAUCUAUG
Leptinotarsa decemlineata (Colorado potato beetle) is the source of this 1586-nucleotide long non-coding RNA. Lineage: Eukaryota; Metazoa; Arthropoda; Insecta; Coleoptera; Chrysomelidae. The record is from RefSeq and is a predicted model, not a curated record.